Lampris incognitus (smalleye Pacific opah) is the source of this 316-nucleotide long non-coding RNA. RefSeq lists it as uncharacterized. NCBI's taxonomy places the organism in Eukaryota, Metazoa, Chordata, Actinopteri, Lampriformes, Lampridae. The record is from RefSeq and is a predicted model, not a curated record. The transcript has 3 exons.
GAAGAUUGGUGAUAAAGAAAUGCAAAAAAAAAAAGUGGCCGUCAAUCAAGAUGAUAAAUCAAAUCUUUCUGUUUGUGAAGCCAUUCUAGGGGCCGCGAAGCAAACAAACAAAGAAAAAAGAGGGUGUCUCCCCACCUGCCGCCCAGUGACUGCUGGGAUAGGCUCCAGCAUCCUCACGACCCUGAGAGCAGGAUGAGCGGAAUAUCAAUUAUGAUGCCUGUCCAGGGUGUCUCCCUGCCUGCCGCCCAGUGACUACUGGGAUAGGCGUCCCCGCGACCCUGAGAGCAGGAUAAGCAGUUUGGAUAAUGGAUGGAUG